This 72-nucleotide transfer RNA is filed under the name Stylophora pistillata. RNAcentral describes it as "tRNA-Pro". It matches the Rfam family "tRNA". Rfam says of the family: Transfer RNA (tRNA) molecules are approximately 80 nucleotides in length. Their secondary structure includes four short double-helical elements and three loops (D, anti-codon, and T loops). Lineage: Eukaryota; Metazoa; Cnidaria; Anthozoa; Scleractinia; Pocilloporidae. The record is from Rfam by way of RNAcentral.
GGCCUGUUGGUCUAGUGGCAUGAAUCUCGCUUAGGGUGCGAGAGGUCCCGGGUUCGACUCCCGGUCAGGCCC